RNAcentral lists this ribosomal RNA (1442 nucleotides) under Bacillus sp. (in: firmicutes). RNAcentral's name for it is "bacterial SSU rRNA". It matches the Rfam family "Bacterial small subunit ribosomal RNA". Lineage: Bacteria; Bacillati; Bacillota; Bacilli; Caryophanales; Bacillaceae. The record is from RNAcentral.
UUUGAUCCUGGCUCAGGACGAACGCGGGCGGCGUGCCUAAUACAUGCAAGUCGAGCGGACAGAAGGGAGCUUGCUCCCGGAUGUUAGCGGCGGACGGGUGAGUAACACGUGGGUAACCUGCCUGUAAGACUGGGAUAACUCCGGGAAACCGGAGCUAAUACCGGAUAGUUCCUUGAACCGCAUGGUUCAAGGAUGAAAGACGGUUUCGGCUGUCACUUACAGAUGGACCCGCGGCGCAUUAGCUAGUUGGUGGGGUAAUGGCUCACCAAGGCGACGAUGCGUAGCCGACCUGAGAGGGUGAUCGGCCACACUGGGACUGAGACACGGCCCAGACUCCUACGGGAGGCAGCAGUAGGGAAUCUUCCGCAAUGGACGAAAGUCUGACGGAGCAACGCCGCGUGAGUGAUGAAGGUUUUCGGAUCGUAAAGCUCUGUUGUUAGGGAAGAACAAGUGCGAGAGUAACUGCUCGCACCUUGACGGUACCUAACCAGAAAGCCACGGCUAACUACGUGCCAGCAGCCGCGGUAAUACGUAGGUGGCAAGCGUUGUCCGGAAUUAUUGGGCGUAAAGGGCUCGCAGGCGGUUUCUUAAGUCUGAUGUGAAAGCCCCCGGCUCAACCGGGGAGGGUCAUUGGAAACUGGGAAACUUGAGUGCAGAAGAGGAGAGUGGAAUUCCACGUGUAGCGGUGAAAUGCGUAGAGAUGUGGAGGAACACCAGUGGCGAAGGCGACUCUCUGGUCUGUAACUGACGCUGAGGAGCGAAAGCGUGGGGAGCGAACAGGAUUAGAUACCCUGGUAGUCCACGCCGUAAACGAUGAGUGCUAAGUGUUAGGGGGUUUCCGCCCCUUAGUGCUGCAGCUAACGCAUUAAGCACUCCGCCUGGGGAGUACGGUCGCAAGACUGAAACUCAAAGGAAUUGACGGGGGCCCGCACAAGCGGUGGAGCAUGUGGUUUAAUUCGAAGCAACGCGAAGAACCUUACCAGGUCUUGACAUCCUCUGACAACCCUAGAGAUAGGGCUUUCCCUUCGGGGACAGAGUGACAGGUGGUGCAUGGUUGUCGUCAGCUCGUGUCGUGAGAUGUUGGGUUAAGUCCCGCAACGAGCGCAACCCUUGAUCUUAGUUGCCAGCAUUUAGUUGGGCACUCUAAGGUGACUGCCGGUGACAAACCGGAGGAAGGUGGGGAUGACGUCAAAUCAUCAUGCCCCUUAUGACCUGGGCUACACACGUGCUACAAUGGACAGAACAAAGGGCUGCAAGACCGCAAGGUUUAGCCAAUCCCAUAAAUCUGUUCUCAGUUCGGAUCGCAGUCUGCAACUCGACUGCGUGAAGCUGGAAUCGCUAGUAAUCGCGGAUCACCAUGCCGCGGUGAAUACGUUCCCGGGCCUUGUACACACCGCCCGUCACACCACGAGAGUUUGCAACACCCGAAGUCGGUGAGGUAA